GACGAACGCUGGCGGCGUGCCUAAUACAUGCAGGUUGAGCGCUGAAGGUUGGUACUUGUACCAACUGGAUGAGCAGCGAACGGGUGAGUAACGCGUGGGGAAUCUGCCUUUGAGCGGGGGACAACAUUUGGAAACGAAUGCUAAUACCGCAUAAAAACUUUAAACACAAGUUUUAAGUUUGAAAGAUGCAAUUGCAUCACUCAAAGAUGAUCCCGCGUUGUAUUAGCUAGUUGGUGAGGUAAAGGCUCACCAAGGCGAUGAUACAUAGCCGACCUGAGAGGGUGAUCGGCCACAUUGGGACUGAGACACGGCCCAAACUCCUACGGGAGGCAGCAGUAGGGAAUCUUCGGCAAUGGACGAAAGUCUGACCGAGCAACGCCGCGUGAGUGAAGAAGGUUUUCGGAUCGUAAAACUCUGUUGGUAGAGAAGAACGUUGGUGAGAGUGGAAAGCUCAUCAAGUGACGGUAACUACCCAGAAAGGGACGGCUAACUACG
RNAcentral lists this ribosomal RNA (495 nucleotides) under uncultured bacterium. RNAcentral's name for it is "partial 16S ribosomal RNA". It matches the Rfam family "Bacterial small subunit ribosomal RNA", at positions 28 to 505 of the family's 1533-position model. The record is from RNAcentral.